This 1805-nucleotide long non-coding RNA is filed under the name Homo sapiens (human). Its description in RNAcentral is "HSALNT0291734". Lineage: Eukaryota; Metazoa; Chordata; Mammalia; Primates; Hominidae. The record is from RNAcentral.
UCCUCCUGUCGGGGUCCCUGCCUGCAGUGUGGGGGGCCGCCUAUGAGAAGGCUCUGUGGGCCCCUCCUCUGGGGCCCUCCCUGGCAGGCGGCCAGCAGUUCUUCUAGGCUGAAUGAGUUAUUUUGAAGCCAAUGUGGGAGGUGGAUUAAUGAGCAGUUGGCUCUGGAACUGUGAUCGGUGCCAGCCCCCAGCUCCCACCCUUGUGCCCACUGGCUCUGGAAAUGCCACCGAGCAUGGGCCUCCCUCCCCAGGGCUGAGCAGCAAGAGGCAGGCUAGGAGGCCCACUGUCCUGUCUCACCCAUCUCCCAUCCUCAGGCCUCCGGGGCAGGAAGGGGCGUGUGGUGGUUCUUCUCAGGUCAAGCCGAGCUCCUAGCGGGCCAUCCUUGAGAGUCCCCAGCAGGACUUCGAGGCCCCUCCGAGGCUGCCCCAGUUCUCUGCUCUGGGCACAGUGCGUUGGUUGUCCAACAUUCCUGUGAAUCUUUAGCAGCAACAAAAGUUCGGAGCCCUUGCCUGCCACAGCCAGCCGCAUUCCAAGAGGGACAUGCAGCUGGGGUUCCUGCUCCCAUUUAGCACAUGAGGAGCAGGCGCAGCCAGUCACACAGCCAGGGGGUGGGGGAGUCCAGGAACCCAUCUCCUGUGCGUGCCCGUCUACCAUGACGCUCCCUCAAGCCACAAAUGCUCCCUCCUCCCUCUCUCUCCCCGCCUCCCCGUCCUCCUCCUCUCACUCCUUCCUCUGUGGCCCUCAUGCUUGCUCUGUCCCCCUUCUGAUGACCCCAAAUCCUUUCCACCCUCUUCCCAGGGUUUCCUCCCCAUUGGGCCAUGACCUCCACAAAAGCAGUGGCACAACAGACCCAUCUCAGUCACCCCAGCAUCCAGCACAGGGCUGGUCACAGCAGCAUCCACAACUGUCCACUGUCCACUGAGUGACCAAGUGAAUGAAUGUGUGCAGCCCAGUGCGACCCGGAGCUCCCUUCCAAGCAAUCUGUUCCUCCGGCUUGCAUGCCUCUGGCUGUGGGAAGCUCACUUCCUUAUGAAGAAUCCGUUUCCACCUUUAGAUGGUUCUGUCCAUCUGGAAGGCUGGCCUUAUGUCUUUAUUUCCAGCCACCAUGAGAACAGAAGGUCUCUGGAGUGGGGACCUCAUCUCUAACCCUGGAGCCUUCCACAGGGCCUGGUACACAGGCAUUAAUAACUGUGUGCCCAAUGACAUCAUCCCCAUCCCCAUCACCAUUCUCUUCAUAGAGGCAGAAGAGCCAUGAAGCGGCUAAAAACCAGGCCUCUGGGCCAUACUGUCGGGCGCUGGGGCUGAAUCCGGGACUCAACCAGUGUUUCCAAGCAGCCUCAGAGAUAGAAGCAGGCAGGGCUGAGAACGCUGAUUCCCCACUGCUCAAGCAGGCAUCUUGAUUUUGCCCAGAAUUUAGGCUUUUUCUCUUAAAUCUUUCUCAUUCCCCUGUAAACACAGAAUCCCUUCAGGAUCUGCAGGGGAAAGGAAAUUCAUGUAUAAUGAACAUCUCCUGUGUGCCUCGUGAGUUUGUUUGCUCUUCCUAACAACCCCAUGAUUGAAGCCCCUGCUUUACACAUGAGGAGCCUGAGGCUCCUCAGAGAGGCUGAUGCACUUGUUCAAGGACACACAGCUGGGAGAGAUGAACCUGGGACUGCACCUCAGUGCUGUGCGACCCCAGGAUCUUGGGGUUUGGAACUGGAGGAGUUCUGUGGAAGUUGGAGCCAGCAUGUUCUGUAGAGCCAGAAACAGGCUUUGGCUGCCCCUGAAGCCUGAUCCAAAGGUAGCGAGUUCCUCCACUGGAGGA